Molecule: microRNA, 22 nt
Filed under: Caenorhabditis remanei
Lineage: Eukaryota; Metazoa; Nematoda; Chromadorea; Rhabditida; Rhabditidae
Description: crm-miR-2228
Source: miRBase by way of RNAcentral
UCAUCCAUCUCUGAAAUUAGAC